CCUUGGAGUAUUGCACCAAGAGUCGCUGCUGCGGCUGUGAGGAAGGCUGAAGAAACUGGAGCAGAACACCGAAAGCAUCAGGGGCAUGUGGUAACCACAGAACAGGAAAAGGAAUGUGUGUGUGUGUGCACAUGACCAAAGGACUGAGCGGCGAUGUUCAGACCAUCAGAACAGACCCCUGCAUCUGUGGAUGUUAACUGAACCUCUGAUUGCAACUCAGCCUUAGAGAUCAGCGGUAACACGAGACCUCGCACAACACCAGCUACAGAGUUUGGAGUUCAAUGGAGGAAACAAACAAGUCAACAGGCCGCAGUCAUUGAAUGACACGUGUUCUGCAAUGGCGGUGAGGACGGUAUACAUCGGGAGCACACAGGAGAGGGAUCAUAGGGAGGUCAGGCCCUGAAGACUGAGUGCCUGGGCUGCAGCCGGAUUGUGCAGGUGCUGUGAGAAUGAAGAGAGUUCUACCCUGGAGAUGUUAGUAAGGAGCUGAGACAUUCACAGGCAGAUUCAACAAGCAGUACAGGCACCGGGCUGGCGUUCUGAAGAGAGAUCUGCACUGCUGGGGAAUGAUCAUGACUUAGCUGGUAUUUAACGUCAUGGAAUUGAAUGAGGUCAUCCAGGCAGUGGGCACUGUUCAAGAACACAAGGCCACCACAGAAGGAAUCCUGCACACUGACCUUAACACCUCAGACACAGCAGGGGACAGGAACAGGAACCAGAGAUGGCAGCCAAGAAGAGGGACUGGGGAGGAAACACGCAGGCCAGGAGACUGUGCUGUGUGGAAACUAUGUGGAGAAAGGACAUCAAGACGAAGAGAAUGACCAACCUAAGCCCAAUGGUAGAGACAGCUCAAGCACAACGGGCAACGAGGAGAAACCAUGAGAUUCACACAGCAGCAGGCAUUGGUGGCCUCACCAACAGCUGUUUGGGCCACAGAUUCAAGAGAGACUAGAAAGGCAGGAACCAAUACACUAACGACACACAAGCUUUGGGGUCAUCUGCUAUAAAUGGGACCAUGAUGGGCCAGAAGACUAGAUUCUGUGAGACUCAGCUCACUUGACAAGUCAAUGACUGAAUGACUGAAAUCCUGUCCCUACUCCUCUGGCUCCCUCAUGCACAGCCCCCUCCCACACUCCCUCUUGCAAGCACACAUCCAGCCUGAGAACCAAGAGGGCCCAUAGACUCAACGCCAGGGGACGGCUUUUGUUUCUUCCUCCUUUAACAAAAGGGACAGCCCACGAAGGAGGAGCCUGUCUCUUCUAUACCCAUGCAGUUCCCACCCACCACACAACCACCGUUCCAAGAGAAAUUAGUGAUGUGCUCCCAAGGAGGGAGACGUCCCAAUUUCAGUGCAAACACCCAGAGGGGAGGGACUCUGCCCAUCCGCUCACCACUUCACCCCAGUACUGAAAACAGCAAGUUACCUGGGAAACUGAGAUAAUCCCAUUUUCUGCCAUUUACUAUGCUAAUCUUGGGAUAUUUUCCAGUUUAUUCCAACUAAA
This is a non-coding RNA of Oryctolagus cuniculus (rabbit), 1502 nucleotides long. The record is from RefSeq and is a predicted model, not a curated record. NCBI's taxonomy places the organism in Eukaryota, Metazoa, Chordata, Mammalia, Lagomorpha, Leporidae.